Molecule: ribosomal RNA, 258 nt
Filed under: Triticum aestivum (bread wheat)
Lineage: Eukaryota; Viridiplantae; Streptophyta; Magnoliopsida; Poales; Poaceae
Description: partial small subunit ribosomal RNA
Source: RNAcentral
AUAGCUUGCCUUCCCACAGCGGGAUUCCAAACCACAUCUAGAAGAACAACUCUUGAAGCUCCGGUUAGGCUAAUCCCUUCACAGCAAGCUCUUGUAGAUGCAAGUAACACCUUCGCAUCACUAUCUGGAUUAUUGAAAACUUCAAUUGACGUCUGACGAUAUCGUGGUUGGAUCUUCCCAUCCAUUUGGAGAAUCUCUUUCCCUACUCUCCAUUUGAAAAGCUUGCUAAGGUGUUCUUUUAUCAAUUCUAAUGGCUGA